Molecule: ribosomal RNA, 79 nt
Filed under: Ailuropoda melanoleuca (giant panda)
Lineage: Eukaryota; Metazoa; Chordata; Mammalia; Carnivora; Ursidae
Description: similar to 28S ribosomal RNA
Source: RNAcentral
GACCUGCUUCUGGGUGGGGGUUUCAUAGGUAGUAGGGCAGCUUCCUUGUGAUCUAUUGAAAGGCAGCCCUUGACACAAG